AACAGUAGAGGUCAGCCACCUGGAGAUUGGAGAAAAAACACAACAAUUACCAUUAAAUUCACCGCACUGAGAGCUGAAAUGUGGGGCUGAUACACAGAAAUUUGGGGUUCAGGUUUCACAUUUUCAGGCGUUUUUUCCAGGUGGAGCCUCCAGGACGGUGCACUCCUCACUGCUGCUAUCUGGGGAGUGUUGAUGGGCCUCCAUCUGCGGGGGGGCAGCCUGGUGGGGAUGAACCUCCGAUCACACCCCGUAUUCCAAGCUUUGGCCAGGCGGAGAGGGGCCGGACGUUCGAAUAAAAACGUAACCAUAUUCGGAGGAGCUGGGGGUGUGGCCUGAACUGAGAGCUUGAUGACACUGCACGUCCACCUACACCUAUGACCUGCACCUAUUGGAUGGACCAGCUUUCGAUCACACAAGGAAACAAAGAAAACAUACUCAACACAUUGGAGUCUGUGUAAAAAUCAAUAAAUGUUUUAAAAACUUUUAAUGUUAUUUAUUACUCGUAUAGUAUAAUGAUAAUAAAAACAAAUUUAAAUAUAUAUUUUUUUCUAUAUUGUAAGAUUUUAUAAAAUAUUUUUCAACAUUUUCUUUCUUGCUUUUAUUUUAAUCAAUACUGAACAUAUUUUUUAUAUUUAAUUUUUCUUUCACAAAUUUUUACGUUGAAUAAACGACUCUACAAUUUCAAAAAAUGUAUGUUGAAAAAAAAAAUACCAAUAUAUUAAAAUCAUUUUA
Long non-coding RNA from Scophthalmus maximus (turbot), 732 nucleotides. RefSeq lists it as uncharacterized. The transcript has 3 exons. The record is from RefSeq and is a predicted model, not a curated record. Lineage: Eukaryota; Metazoa; Chordata; Actinopteri; Pleuronectiformes; Scophthalmidae.